CGGGGUGUGGCGCAGCCUGGUAGCGCACUUGCAUGGGGCGCAAGAGGUCGCUGGUUCAAAUCCAGUCGCCCCGACCA
Molecule: transfer RNA, 77 nt
Filed under: Rhodospirillaceae bacterium
Lineage: Bacteria; Pseudomonadati; Pseudomonadota; Alphaproteobacteria; Rhodospirillales; Rhodospirillaceae
Also listed under: 1 other name
Description: tRNA-Pro
Rfam family: tRNA
About the family: Transfer RNA (tRNA) molecules are approximately 80 nucleotides in length. Their secondary structure includes four short double-helical elements and three loops (D, anti-codon, and T loops).
Source: RNAcentral